This 794-nucleotide long non-coding RNA is filed under the name Equus caballus (horse). Its description in RNAcentral is "lncRNA (ENSECAG00000050329.1)". Lineage: Eukaryota; Metazoa; Chordata; Mammalia; Perissodactyla; Equidae. The record is from RNAcentral.
AACAUCCGUGCCCAUCUUCCUCUACUUUAUACAUGGGACACCUACCACAGCAUGGCUUGACAAGCGGUGCCAUGUCCGCACCCAGGACUGGAACCGGCGAACCCCAGGCCGCCAAGAAGCGGAACGUGCGCACUCAACAGCUGAGCCCAGGUUUUCAUUAGUACAGUUUCUUUCAGUGGCCUUUACCUCUUGGUGUCUCAGUUCACAUCGUGAUUUUCAUUGCUCGUGGCGGAUCCGCACCAAAGCUGAGAGAAUCCAGUCUGCCUGCUGCUUUGUUAGGAAUCUGUGAUGUCACCAAUGGAGACAGGAGAGGAGAUACCACAGCAUUUGAAGCAAGUGGGAAGCAACCUACAAAGAUCAGGACUUCCAGAAGCCCAUGGAAAGGCUGAGAUGCCAGUCAAUGAGGAAUGUUCUAUCCUGGGAGGCAGACCCUUAUGACAUCAGACCAACAUCUGUUAUUCUACUGUCAAUAUUUGAGAAAAUUAAGUGGACAACUGCAUAAUUUUUCCCCUGCUCUGAGUGCUCUGGGACCCACCCGAUCAUCAUUCAGCUUUCAAGUCACGUCAUUCCCUUCUCCUUCUGCCCCACCUCUGGACAAGCUGAUAAGAAAGCCUGUGUGCUUCUUCCUUUGGCGCCAGCAGGAAGCUCAAAUCAUGCAAGCCCCAGAACACAUGAGGGAACAUAGAGAUCCAAGCCACUCACUCCUCUUUGCUCACUCAAGCCAUUUUGGGACCUGCUUGGGAGUUUGCCUUGCUCUCCCUGGAAAGUUUCAUUAUGUGAGUGGUAAAUCUUUU